GAUGAACGCUGGCGGCGUGCUUAACACAUGCAAGUCGAACGGAAAGGCCCAAGCUUGCUUGGGUACUCGAGUGGCGAACGGGUGAGUAACACGUGGGUGAUCUGCCCUGCACUUCGGGAUAAGCCUGGGAAACUGGGUCUAAUACUGGAUAGGACCACUUCUUGGAUGUUGUGGUGGAAAGUUUUUUCGGUGUGGGAUGAGCUCGCGGCCUAUCAGCUUGUUGGUGGGGUAAUGGCCUACCAAGGCGUCGACGGGUAGCCGGCCUGAGAGGGUGUACGGCCACAUUGGGACUGAGAUACGGCCCAGACUCCUACGGGAGGCAGCGGUGGGGAAUAUUGCACAAUGGGCGCAAGCCUGAUGCAGCGACGCCGCGUGGGGGAUGACGGCCUUCGGGUUGUAAACUCCCUUCGCUAGGGACGAAGCGUUUUGUGACGGUACCUGGAGAAGAAGCACCGGCUAACUACGUG
RNAcentral lists this ribosomal RNA (467 nucleotides) under uncultured bacterium. RNAcentral's name for it is "partial 16S ribosomal RNA". It matches the Rfam family "Bacterial small subunit ribosomal RNA", at positions 28 to 507 of the family's 1533-position model. The record is from RNAcentral.